UAUGUAAGUAGCUUUUUUUUUUUUUUUUUUAGGGGUCCUGGUUGCCCCACUCUUGUAGUCUAGUUCAUCUAUCCAAUGAAUGAAACGGGUAGCGCGCUAUCUUUUUUUUUAAAAAAAAAAAAUAAUACAGAAGAUUAGUUGGAUAAUAGCUCAUAAUUAAUUAAGGAUAAUUGUCUAUAUAUCCUUCAAAACUUAAAAAAUAUCUCAUUUAUUUCUAGCUUUUUUUUUUCAAUAUACCCCUCAUAUAUUCCUCCUGUAUUCCAAAAUGCUCUAGUAAUUACCAUCCAUUAAGUUAACUUGCGUUAAACGUGAGCUAAAUAUCUAUCAAAGUUAAAAAAAUCAAAAUAUCUCUUUUGCCCUUAACUUAAGGACAAAUAAAAAAUGUUGGUAAUGGUAGAAAGGUAAAUUUGAAAAGACCAAAAAUCAAAAUGCUUUUUUGUACUUCUAACUUAAAGACAAAUAAAAAUAGUUGUUGAUAAUAGAAGAAUAUAUUUGAAAAGGCAAAAUAUUAAAUUUAUAAAGAUAACAGUUAUAACUAACAGUUUAUUAAUAGAAUUUAACUCUAAAAUUAUAUUUGAAAUAAGUUGAAACGUAAAAAAAAUAUUUUUAAUAUUAACCUUUUAGGAAAGAUAAAUCAAAAAGUCAGAAAAUUUUCAAAAAUAUAUAAACAAUUGCCCCAAUUAAUUAUGUACAUUAUAAUUAUUGCUAUU
This 710-nucleotide long non-coding RNA is filed under the name Ananas comosus (pineapple). RNAcentral describes it as "long non-coding RNA (ACOM_LNC033884)". The record is from RNAcentral. Lineage: Eukaryota; Viridiplantae; Streptophyta; Magnoliopsida; Poales; Bromeliaceae.